This 262-nucleotide long non-coding RNA is filed under the name Cavia porcellus (domestic guinea pig). Its description in RNAcentral is "lncRNA (ENSCPOG00000033113.1)". The record is from RNAcentral. Lineage: Eukaryota; Metazoa; Chordata; Mammalia; Rodentia; Caviidae.
UUUAGGGUAAUUUUUCUUGAAUUUUGCUUUGUUUCAGUGUGGCUCUUAAGAGUUUCAGGAAGAUCACCUGAAGUUCAAGGCCAUUUUGGGCUACAGAAGUGAAGACCAGCAUGGAAUAUAUAGAGAGAACCUGUCUCAACCAAACAACAGCAAAACAAACAAAAAUGAACAAGAAUUUAUGACAUGGAUCCCUGAGGUUCUGUCAUCAAUACCAGGAAGCCAAUUUGAUGAUCAAGAGAAAGCACAGGAGAUAAAAUGUUGA